ACACCGACAACCGGAGCUCAGAUUGGU
RNAcentral lists this non-coding RNA (27 nucleotides) under Bombyx mori (domestic silkworm). Lineage: Eukaryota; Metazoa; Arthropoda; Insecta; Lepidoptera; Bombycidae. The record is from RNAcentral.